AUGGCAGUGCAUCAGUGGACAGUGGCGCUCUUUGUGGCUGUCGCCCUCGUGGCGGGGCCAGCCAUCUCGUACGCUGUCGAAACCAGCAAUGCCCUGGCCGGGGCACAACCAAAGGCCACGACCGAGGAGCAGCAGCUAAUUGAGAAGGCCAAUAUCGCCUUCAAGGCGGCUGUGGCGGCCGCAGCCGUGGUCGCUCCAGCGGACAAGUACAAGACAUUCCAGGCCACCUUCAGCCUGAACUUUGGCUGGUCUAUCGAAGGGAUCACCGGCACGUUCAACUUCCAAGCCACUUUCACCACCAGGAUCGCCUUUGCUCAAUUGUCAGCCUACCACUUCGCCAAGGGCGCUACCCUGGAGGCCAAGUACGAAGCCUUCGUGGCCAUCCUAAGCGAGUCGCUCCGCAUCAUCGCCGGCAUCCUCGAGGUCCACGCCGUCAAGCCCGCCGGCGAGGAAGUCAAGGGGGCGAUCCCUGCCGAUGAGCUGAAGGCCAUCGACCAGAUCGACGCUGCCUUUAGGACUGCAGCCGCCGCCGCCGACGCUGCCCCGCUCAAGCACAAGUUCGCCGUCUUCAAGUCCGCCUUCAACAAGGCCAUCAAGGAAACUACAGGCGGUGCAUACGAGGGCUACAAAUUCGUCCCCGACCUCGUGUCCAGCAUCAAGAAGAUCUACGGCAUCACUGUUCCCAAGACGCCCAAGGACAAGCUCUUGGCCUUUGAGUCCGCCCUGAGCAAGACCAUCCUCGCCAUGGCAGCUGCCGCCACCGCCCCUUCCACUCCCACUGCCGCCACUGCCACAGCAACCGCCACUCCCACUCCCGAAAUAUGA
RNAcentral lists this ribosomal RNA (825 nucleotides) under Triticum aestivum (bread wheat). Its description in RNAcentral is "partial small subunit ribosomal RNA". The record is from RNAcentral. Lineage: Eukaryota; Viridiplantae; Streptophyta; Magnoliopsida; Poales; Poaceae.